GAUGAACGCUAGCGGCAGGCUUAACACAUGCAAGUCGAGGGGCAGCACAAGGCAGCAAUGCUGAGGUGGCGACCGGCGCACGGGUGCGUAACGCGUAUCCAACCUUCCCGUUACUCUUGGAUAGCCUUCCGAAAGGGAGAUUAAUACAAGAUGGUGUUGAAAUUCCGCAUGUUAUUUCAACUAAAGAUUUAUCGGUAACGGAUGGGGAUGCGUGACAUUAGAUAGAUGGCGGGGUAACGGCCCACCAUGUCCACGAUGUCUAGGGGUUCUGAGAGGAAGGUCCCCCCACACUGGUACUGAGACACGGACCAGACUCCUACGGGAGGCAGCAGUGAGGAAUAUUGGUCAAUGGGGCGAGAGCCUGAACCAGCCAAGUCGCGUGAGGGAUGACGGUACUAAGUAUUGUAAACCUCUUUUGUCAGGGAAUAACAUCACCUACGUGUAGGUGCCUGCAUGUACCGUAUGAAUAGCAUCGGCUAACUCCGUGCCAG
This 491-nucleotide ribosomal RNA is filed under the name uncultured bacterium. Its description in RNAcentral is "bacterial SSU rRNA". It matches the Rfam family "Bacterial small subunit ribosomal RNA", at positions 28 to 511 of the family's 1533-position model. The record is from RNAcentral.